This 431-nucleotide ribosomal RNA is filed under the name uncultured bacterium. RNAcentral's name for it is "partial 16S ribosomal RNA". It matches the Rfam family "Bacterial small subunit ribosomal RNA", at positions 29 to 506 of the family's 1533-position model. The record is from RNAcentral.
ACGAACGCUGGCAGCAGGCCUAACACAUGCAAGUCGAGCGAGGACUUCGGUCCUAGCGGCGGACGGGUGAGUAACGCGUGGGAACGUGCCCUUUGCUUCGGAAUAGCCCUGGGAAACUGGGAGUAAUACCGGAUGAGCCCUUUGGGGGAAAGAUUUAUCGGCGAAGGAUCGGCCCGCGUUGGAUUAGGUAGUUGGUGGGGUAAUGGCCUACCAAGCCGACGAUCCAUAGCUGGUUUGAGAGGAUGAUCAGCCACACUGGGACUGAGACACGGCCCAGACUCCUACGGGAGGCAGCAGUGGGGAAUCUUAGACAAUGGGGGAAACCCUGAUCUAGCCAUGCCGCGUGAGCGAUGAAGGCCUUAGGGUUGUAAAGCUCUUUCAGCUGGGAAGAUAAUGACGGUACCAGCAGAAGAAGCCCCGGCUAACUCCGU